Molecule: non-coding RNA, 164 nt
Organism: Marininema halotolerans
Lineage: Bacteria; Bacillati; Bacillota; Bacilli; Caryophanales; Thermoactinomycetaceae
Source: Rfam
AAUUGAAUAAAGCUCUAGCCGCAGACAGUCGGUGCAUACGAUGUGUGCAUAAUUCCGGCCGAGGUACAGGGAUUUGUAGUAUCUGUGGGUAUUCCUUUGGAAAACCCAUCACGGUAUGUUCCCGGCCUUCGUCUGCAAACAGCGAAGGCUUUUUUCAUUGCUUA